UACGGAGGAUCCAAGCGUUAUCCGGAUUUAUUGGGUGUAAAGGGUGCGUAGACGGGAUUACAAGUUGGUUGUGAAACCCCUCAGCUCAACUGAGGAACUGCAACCAAAACUAUAAUUCUUGAGUGCAGGAGAGGAAAGUGGAAUUCCUAGUGUAGCGGUGAAAUGCGUAGAUAUUAGGAAGAACACUGGUGGCGAAGGCGACUUUCUGGACUGUAACUGACGUUGAGGCACGAAAGUGUGGGGAGCAAACAGG
Molecule: ribosomal RNA, 253 nt
Filed under: uncultured bacterium
Lineage: Bacteria
Description: partial 16S ribosomal RNA
Rfam family: Bacterial small subunit ribosomal RNA
Source: RNAcentral